UUUUAUUUUCCCCCUUCCCCUUCUUCUUCUCACGCAAAGCAACCCCACUCCCGUGUCUUUCUUCUCUGCGCCGUCCACCACCGACCCAGCCUCUCGCGCCGCUCGCCCUCCUUCACAUCGCUUGCUUUGCCGUUGCCUCCUCUUAGUCGCUGAAGUCGACGCCAAGCCGCAGAUUUGAGACGCUCGUCCCAGCCGUCUCAGUCGUAGAUCCAGCCACUCGCUCUCGCCGUGUAACCCCCCUAGCCGCUCGCCCUCACCGUGCAACGCUUCCAGUCGCUCAGCCCCUACGCACCGCCUGCCCAACCCCAACCCACGGAUUAGAUCUAAGGCUCAGCCCUUCGGCGCCGUCCCAACCUCAUCCAGUGUGACACCCGGCCGCCACUGCUUUGGUCUUCGUCGGAAUCUUGGAUUAAGGGGCGAAAUUUCAGGUUGUUGAAGUUGUCGUCCAGCCAAUUAAAGGUAUAGUCAAUGAAUUUUGGUGAAGGGUAAGGCUUUAAACUUGUUUGGGUGGUUAAGCAUGUUGUAUGUUUAUGAAUUAUUCGAUUUAAGUUUGACCGAACCAUGGAUUGCGGCCUAAAAUAAUUUUCCAUGAUGUUUGGGUGUUAGGUUUGGAUCUUGAGGUUUCUUGGUGGGUGAUUUACGUUUGAUCCCGUGGGUUUUCAAUAAGUUGUUGAGAAGCUUUUGGAUUAGGAUUGGUGGUUUUGAAAUUGUGCUUAGAUAUUGAUAUUUCAUAUUUGCUUGUUUGUUACUUUGGUUUGAUUCAAGGUGUCGUUGGGCAAGGAAGAGGUUAAGCUUGCUAGUUUCUAGAGUUUGUGAUUAGAGGUAAGUAAUCGAACUAUUGGAACUGCCUCGUACUAGGCAUCAUGUUGUAUUAAGGUUGUUUAUGAUGGAACAUAAAGAACUAAGCAUGUUGUAUUAAGGUUGUUUAUGAUGGAACAUAAAGAACGCAUGCACAAUGGAAGCGAUGAAAUUGACAACGUUUUAAUUGCAAUAAAAAUAAGAAUAAGCAUGCAAAAGGGAUAGAAAAUACUACCUUUGAAGACUCCA
Molecule: non-coding RNA, 1047 nt
Organism: Benincasa hispida (wax gourd)
Lineage: Eukaryota; Viridiplantae; Streptophyta; Magnoliopsida; Cucurbitales; Cucurbitaceae
Source: RefSeq, a predicted model, not a curated record